This 440-nucleotide ribosomal RNA is filed under the name uncultured bacterium. RNAcentral's name for it is "partial 16S ribosomal RNA". It matches the Rfam family "Bacterial small subunit ribosomal RNA", at positions 338 to 795 of the family's 1533-position model. The record is from RNAcentral.
CCUACGGGAGGCAGCAGUAGGGAAUAUUGCUCAAUGGGGGAAACCCUGAAGCAGCAACGCCGCGUGGAGGAUGACGGUUUUCGGAUUGUAAACUCCUUUUGUUAGAGAAGAUAAUGACGGUAUCUAACGAAUAAGCACCGGCUAACUCCGUGCCAGCAGCCGCGGUAAUACGGAGGGUGCAAGCGUUACUCGGAAUCACUGGGCGUAAAGGGCGCGUAGGCGGGAUAGCAAGUCAGAUGUGAAAUCCUAUGGCUUAACCAUAGAACUGCAUUUGAAACUGUUAUUCUAGAGUAUGGGAGAGGUAGAUGGAAUUCUUGGUGUAGGGGUAAAAUCCGUAGAGAUCAAGAGGAAUACUCAUUGCGAAGGCGACCUGCUAGAACAUAACUGACGCUGAUGCGCGAAAGCGUGGGGAGCAAACAGGAUUAGAUACCCGUGUAGUC